AUGGAGAGGAUCGAGAGGGAUCUGAACCCCUCAAGGUCACUCGUUGCCGAAAAAGCGGCUCUUGUUGUCCUGCGACUGGAAGACCAUCUGGACAAUGCCUUGGGUUACAUCACUCGGGUGAGGGGCGUUGUAAGCCGGAUUGAGAAGGAGCUUCAGCCUGGCGAGAAGACCCAGACUGAUUUGGAGUCAAUCAUGACACGGCUGAAUGAGAUUCCUGCUCGAGUGCAAGCUUGGAAGAAGUCGGCUGCCCGGAGCAGUGCUGAUGUGGCCCUGUCGCUUGUCCGAGUCCACUGCAAGGACGUCAACGAGGAGAAGAUAAAGAACCUCCGUGUGGUCAACACCAAGAAGCUAAAAUUUGAAGACUUCAUGGAGACGUUCGUUGAAGUCGCCCCGCGCAUCGUCGACGGAAUCGAUCUGGAGACCUUCGUCGAGCCAGCCAGCCGCCAGGAGGAUGCCUGA
RNAcentral lists this ribosomal RNA (459 nucleotides) under Triticum aestivum (bread wheat). RNAcentral describes it as "partial small subunit ribosomal RNA". Lineage: Eukaryota; Viridiplantae; Streptophyta; Magnoliopsida; Poales; Poaceae. The record is from RNAcentral.